Molecule: long non-coding RNA, 3531 nt
Filed under: Marmota monax (woodchuck)
Lineage: Eukaryota; Metazoa; Chordata; Mammalia; Rodentia; Sciuridae
Source: RNAcentral
GUGCCGAGGAUUGAACCCAGGGCCUCGCAUGUACUAGGCAAGCACUCUACCCCUGAGCCACAAUCCUGGCCCACCUGACUGAAUUUUAGUAGAAAGGAAUCUGUACAAGUGGUGACAGCAAAGGAUGAACACAAACUCUGAACUAAUGAAAGAGGACAUUUUAUUCUCAAAACAAAUACAUUCCUAUAUUUCAUUUAAUCAUUUGCAUUUCUUCAUAAACAAACUGGAAGAUACAAAAUCCUUGAAAUUAUAUCUUUCCCAUAGAACAUGUAAGGAUUUUUCUUUAAAAUGAGGCUUAUGCCUUAAUUAGAAGCUUUUGGAGAGCCUUGUAAUUUUUUUUUUGUUGUUGUUCUUUUAUACUUUGAGACUGAGGAUAGAGAACAACUGAACACUUAAUUUUUUUAAUAGGCAGAGACAGUAAAGUUGUGUGUCUAUAGAAAAAUUUUAAGAAAAUACUCUAUGCUUUUGAUAUCAUUGCUUUUAACAUAAUUGAACCUUUGAGAAUCCCUGAAGGUUGGCCAACUAUAACUUUUUGAGGGUUAGGAGGAAGAGUUAGGUAUAUGCAGGAUUUUUUGUGAAACAAGAUAGCUUAUUUAAUUGCAGUCAAAACUCUAUGGGAAAUUUAUUUUUGCUUCUUGUUUGUUCAAUCUGACCGAUCUGAGCUUUUUCAGAGAACAUUUAAUGCUAAACUCAGCAACAAAAAAUCAGUUCUAGGAACUUGCCACUGCUCUGACUGCACAGAAGAUAGCUUUGGUUAUAGUCUUUGGUUAUAGUAUAGGCAUUGGAGGUUUUGCUGUAACCUGAACUUUCUGACCAUCACUGUGGUCUGAACUCCUUCCCAGCCACUGCAUCCUUUGAGUGGAAAGUAACUUCUGGCCUCUCAGGCAGCAAGACAAUGGUCCAGCUGCAGGUCCAGAAGCUUCAGGCAAAGGAAAGUUUCUGUUAGGAUUCGCAUGUUAGUUUCCUUUUUGGGGAAGGUCUGUUGCACACAUUUUGUUGUUGAACUCACGUGUGUUAACGUUCAGCUUCUGUAUAUCUUCAGUGAGUCCCAGUGGGCUUCCUUUUUUUCAGUAGAUUAGCCGUGUUAACAUAACCCAAAAGGAAAUGUUAAGCAAAGCAAGUGACCCUAUUUUUUAAUCUUAAAAAUUAAUUUGAAAAUAAUCCUGAAAAUGAAAUUUUAUAUAAUUUAAAAAUUAUAUAGGAGAACUUGUAGUUUUUUCAUAUAAGAUUUCUUUUAUCAAUGUUCUUUAUUAUGUGGAAUUUAUGACUUACUGGUUUCUUUCUUAUUGGGAGCACUCUGUUUCUCAUCUUUGUAAAUGAUGAUUAACUUUCUGUUGGGCCAUAGAACAUAACAUUUACCUCUGAUCGUCUACAUUUCCCUGUUGACUUUGAUUUUGUUUUUCCUCCUGAUUUUUAUAUUGUAAAUAUAUACAUAGCAGUAAUAUAUAGAGUAGGAAUAAAUUAUACAGACAUACUUUGAAGUAUCUGAUAAUGAAAAGGUGAGGUUUUGGUGGUGGAAGUAACAUAAAAGAUUGUGCGAUCCCUGUUUUAACUGCAAAUACAGCUUGGGUGAACGAUUUUCUUAAGGGAAGGAAAAAUUGCAAACCACAAAUUUAUGGUUCCGUCUCCUUAUUGCUUAAUAACAUGGCUUUACAUCUACCCCUCCCUUAAAAUGAUAUAAAAUUAAAUAAAACUAUCACUUAUUAAAUGCCUACCCUGCCAGUUCCUGUGCAAGGCACUUUCACAGACAUGAUGUCAUUUGAUCUUUACAGCCACCCAGGUGAUGAACAUGAGUGCCCGGUCUUUCGCUAGGGAAGCUGAAAUUUGAAGAAGUUAAGGAGCUGGCUCAGGGUUACUCUGCGUGAAGUCACAUGCAGGUCUGUGGACACUGAGCACAGGCUGCUCACUGCAGCAGUCAGAGGUUUUGUCAUUCACAUUCUGCCAGAAUAUAUGCAGAAACAGGGCAGCUACUUUUCCAGCUCAAUCCUGAUAUAGGCAUUUGAUAAAUUUAGCACAUAUGCUGCUCAUCAGUUAAUUGUGCUAUUUAAACCAAACCUAGUAGUUUUUAAAAAACAUCUAUGUGGAGUUUUUUGGGUUUUUUUUUGUUUGUUUGUUUUUCCCCCAGAAAAAUUAUAGCAAAACUUUUUGGCUCCCUGUAAUCCUAGAGAAAUAUGAUCUAAUAAAGCAGAUUUUACCAUUAAGUUUCCAGAAUUUCCUAUUCUUUGCUUCUGUGUUGAAGCAGGAAAGCUUAGAAUGACAGCUGUUUACCUUCUUGGAAUUCACAUGGCUAAGUUCAACAGUUCUCUCUGACAGUCUGAGAGCUCCUCUUGUAUUUCUAUGUAGACAUGAAAAUAAAUGCAUCCCUGGGAAGGGUCAGAGAAUGUUGUCUUACUCAAGUAUGGUUGCUGGUUGUGGACACACAAGAAACCUCACAUUUUCCAGGCAGUUCUGCUGUUGUCCUUUACCACUGGAAACUUGCUUGGGUUUCCCAGGAGGCUCAGCUUCCUGCCUAAGCUUGCACUGUCUGUAGACUGGGAGCUGGAAUGAGGCCUGUUUCCUAGCAGUGGCUGGACAAGAAAACUGGGCCAAUCUAAAUGAAUACAUCAGGCUGAGAGGAAGCAGGAAGGAAAGCAGAAGAGAUGGGAGGAAAGUGACCUAUCAGCAAAAGAAAAGUGGUUAGUUAUCUUUGGUAAAUAUUCUUACUUCUGAUAGAAAGCAUUAGAAUGUGUCAGGAGGUGGUUAAGAAUAUGGGCUGUGAGUUGGGCACAGUGGUGUAUGCCUAUAAUUCCAGCAGCUUGGAGGAGGCUGAGGGAGGAGGAUCUCGAGUUCAAAGCCAGCCACAGCAACUUAGUGAGGUCCUUACUAAGCAACUUAGCAAGACCCGAUUUCUAAUAAAAUAUUUUAAAAAGGGGCUGGGGAUGUGGCUCAGUUAUUAAGUGUUCCUGGGUUAAAUCCCCAGUGCAAAAACAACAAUAAAAAAUGGGCUUUGGGGUCAAACUCUGGAUUCAGGUCUGGCUCUGCUGCUGAUUGCUGAGCAACCUUGGACACUCAGAUUCCUUAACUGAAAAUGAGGAAGCAGCAGCACCCACUACCUAGAGUUUUAAAGAUUAAAUAAGAAGAUACAUGUAAAUGAUCUUGAAUAGUGCCUGGAAGAGUAAUUAUUUAAUAAUUGUCCUAAUCAUGAACCUGAAUAAGGAAAUGUUCAUUAAAAACAAAUAAUUGUGUUUGUGUAUAAUUGUGUCAGUGAAGAUUUUUCAAAGGCACUACCAUUAUUGUGAAGAGCAGAGUUUCCUAAAUAUUCUUUUAAAUGAGUAGAAGAAAAUGAUGUUUACUUCCAAUCAUCCAGGUGUGUUUGCGUACAAUAGAGGUAUUUAAUGUAAAUUUCCUUUUGCCAGUUACAGGAAAGAGUUACAUAAUUAGAAAAGACCUGGUUAUUAUGUUAUUAAAAUAAUUCAAAGGCAAAAGUGAGGGGAAUGUCUCUGCCUCUGUUUCAAGUUUUCUAUUGUCACUCUGAAGGGGUCUUCAAUGAUC